This 491-nucleotide ribosomal RNA is filed under the name uncultured bacterium. RNAcentral describes it as "partial 16S ribosomal RNA". It matches the Rfam family "Bacterial small subunit ribosomal RNA", at positions 29 to 507 of the family's 1533-position model. The record is from RNAcentral.
GUGAACGCUGGCGGUAGGCCUAACCCCUGCCAGUCGAACGGCAGCACCGUAAGAGCUUGCUCUUACGGGUGGCGAGUGGCGGACGGGUGAGGAAUACAUCGGAAUCUACUUUUUCGGGGGGACUACAGUAGGGAAACUUACAUUACUACUACAAACGCCUUCUGGUUGAAGGCGGGGGGUCUUCGUCCCUGGCUGGAUAUAGUGACCCGACGUCGGAUUAGCUAGUUGGCGGGGUAAAGUCCCACCAAGGCGACGAUCCGUAGCUGGUCUGAGAGGAUGAUCAGCCACACUGGAACUGAGACACGGUCCAGACUCCUACGGGAGGCAGCAGUGGGGAAUAUUGGACAAUGGGCGCAAGCCUGAUCCAGCCAUACCGCGUGGGUGAAGAAGGCCUUCGGGUUGUAAAGCCCUUUUGUUGGGAAAGAAAAGCAGCAGGUUAAUACCCCGCUGUUCUGACGGUACCCAAAGAAUAAGCACCGGCUAACUUCGUG